AUGAACGCUGGCGGCGCGCCUAACACAUGCAAGUCGAACGGCACCCCUCCUCGGAGGGAAGCGAGUGGCGAACGGCUGAGUAACACGUGGAGAACCUGCCCCCUCCCCCGGGAUAGCCGCCCGAAAGGACGGGUAAUACCGGAUACCCCGGGGUGCCGCAUGGCACCCCGGCUAAAGCCCCGACGGGAGGGGAUGGCUCCGCGGCCCAUCAGGUAGACGGCGGGGUGACGGCCCACCGUGCCGACAACGGGUAGCCGGGUUGAGAGACCGACCGGCCAGAUUGGGACUGAGACACGGCCCAGACUCCUACGGGAGGCAGCAGUGGGGAAUCUUGCGCAAUGGGGGGAACCCUGACGCAGCGACGCCGCGUGCGGGACGGAGGCCUUCGGGUCGUAAACCGCUUUCAGCAGGGAAGAGUCAAGACUGUACCUGCAGAAGAAGCCCCGGCUAACUACGUGCCAGCAGCCGCGGUAAUACGUAGGGGGCGAGCGUUAUCCGGAUUCAUUGGGCGUAAAGCGCGCGUAGGCGGCCCGGCAGGCCGGGGGUCGAAGCGGGGGGCUCAACCCCCCGAAGCCCCCGGAACCUCCGCGGCUUGGGUCCGGUAGGGGAGGGUGGAACACCCGGUGUAGCGGUGGAAUGCGCAGAUAUCGGGUGGAACACCGGUGGCGAAGGCGGCCCUCUGGGCCGAGACCGACGCUGAGGCGCGAAAGCUGGGGGAGCGAACAGGAUUAGAUACCCUGGUAGUCCCAGCCGUAAACGAUGGACGCUAGGUGUGGGGGGACGAUCCCCCCGUGCCGCAGCCAACGCAUUAAGCGUCCCGCCUGGGGAGUACGGCCGCAAGGCUAAAACUCAAAGGAAUUGACGGGGGCC
RNAcentral lists this ribosomal RNA (870 nucleotides) under human gut metagenome. Its description in RNAcentral is "bacterial SSU rRNA". It matches the Rfam family "Bacterial small subunit ribosomal RNA", at positions 29 to 921 of the family's 1533-position model. The record is from RNAcentral.